Molecule: ribosomal RNA, 253 nt
Filed under: uncultured bacterium
Lineage: Bacteria
Description: partial 16S ribosomal RNA
Rfam family: Bacterial small subunit ribosomal RNA
Source: RNAcentral
UACGUAGGUGGCAAGCGUUGUCCGGAUUUACUGGGCGUAAAGAGCGCGCAGGCGGUCGGUCAAGUCGGGUGUGAAAGCCCCCGGCUCAACUGGGGAGGGUCACGCGAUACUGAUCGACUCGAAGGCAGGAGAGGGUAGUGGAAUUCCCGGUGUAGUGGUGAAAUGCGUAGAUAUCGGGAGGAACAUCAGUGGCGAAGGCGGCCUUCUGGUCCAGUACUGACACUCAAGUGCGAAAGCGUGGGGAGCAAACAGG